Molecule: RNA transcript, 767 nt
Organism: Carlito syrichta (Philippine tarsier)
Lineage: Eukaryota; Metazoa; Chordata; Mammalia; Primates; Tarsiidae
Gene name: protein YIPF5 pseudogene
Exons: 1
Source: RefSeq, a predicted model, not a curated record
AUGAUGCAGCCACAGCAGCCGUACACUGGGCAGAUCUUCCAGCCAACUCAGGCAUACACUCCAGCUUCACCUCAGCCAUUCUAUGGAAACAACUUUGAGGAUGAGCCACCUUUAUUAGAAGAGUUAGGUAUCAAUUUUGACCACAUCUGGCAAAAAACACUAACAGUAUUACAUCCAUUAAAAGUAGCAGAUGGAAGCAUCAUGAAUGAAACCGAUUUGGCAGGACCAGUGGUUUUUUGCCUUGCCUUUGGAGCCACAUUGUUACUGGCUGGCAAGAUCCAGUUUGGCUAUGUAUAUGGGAUCAGUGCAAUUGGAUGUCUAGGAAUGUUUUGUUUAUUAAACUUAAUGAGUAUGACGGGUGUUUCAUUUGGUUGUGUGGCAAGUGUCCUUGGAUAUUGUCUUCUGCCCAUGAUUCUACUCUCCAGCUUUGCAGUGAUAUUUUCUUUGCAAGGGAUGGUAGGAAUCAUUCUCACUGCUGGGAUUAUUGGAUGGUGUAGUUUUUCUGCUUCCAAGAUAUUUAUUUCUGCAUUAGCCAUGGAAGGACAGCAACUUUUAGUAGCAUAUCCUUGUGCUUUGCUAUAUGGUGUCUUCGCCCUGAUUUCCGUCUUUUGAACUGAGUUAAUCUGGAAUGUGGACAUUGGUGGGCCAAACACACAAAAAGGACCUUGAACUCUUAAAUUGGACCAGCAAACUGCUGCAGCGCAAUUCUCAUGCAGAUUUUCAUUUGACUAUUGGAGCAAUGAAAGUAAAACAUGUAUUUUUUGUUC